AUUGAACGCUGGCGGCAGGCCUAACACAUGCAAGUCGAACGGUAACAGGGAUCAGCUUGCUGAUUCGCUGACGAGUGGCGGACGGGUGAGUAAUGUCUGGGAAACUGCCUGAUGGAGGGGGAUAACUACUGGAAACGGUAGCUAAUACCGCAUAACGUCGCAAGACCAAAGAGGGGGACCUUCGGGCCUCUUGCCAUCGGAUGUGCCCAGAUGGGAUUAGCUAGUAGGUGGGGUAACGGCUCACCUAGGCGACGAUCCCUAGCUGGUCUGAGAGGAUGACCAGCCAGACUGGAACUGAGACACGGUCCAGACUCCUACGGGAGGCAGCAGUGGGGAAUAUUGCACAAUGGGCGCAAGCCUGAUGCAGCCAUGCCGCGUGUAUGAAGAAGGCCUUCGGGUUGUAAAGUACUUUCAGCGGGGAGGAAGGGAGUAAAGUUAAUACCUUUGCUCAUUGACGUUACCCGCAGAAGAAGCACCGGCUAACUCCGUG
RNAcentral lists this ribosomal RNA (490 nucleotides) under uncultured bacterium. RNAcentral's name for it is "partial 16S ribosomal RNA". It matches the Rfam family "Bacterial small subunit ribosomal RNA", at positions 30 to 507 of the family's 1533-position model. The record is from RNAcentral.